UACGUAGGGGGCAAGCGUUAUCCGGAUUUACUGGGUGUAAAGGGAGCGUAGACGGCGAUGCAAGUCUGAAGUGAAAGGCGGGGGCCCAACCCCCGGACUGCUUUGGAAACUGUAUGGCUGGAGUGCAGGAGAGGUAAGUGGAAUUCCUAGUGUAGCGGUGAAAUGCGUGGAUAUUAGGAGGAACACCAGUGGCGAAGGCGGCUUACUGGACUGUAACUGACGUUGAGGCUCGAAAGCGUGGGGAGCAAACAGG
RNAcentral lists this ribosomal RNA (253 nucleotides) under uncultured bacterium. RNAcentral's name for it is "partial 16S ribosomal RNA". It matches the Rfam family "Bacterial small subunit ribosomal RNA", at positions 524 to 776 of the family's 1533-position model. The record is from RNAcentral.